This 419-nucleotide ribosomal RNA is filed under the name uncultured bacterium. RNAcentral describes it as "bacterial SSU rRNA". It matches the Rfam family "Bacterial small subunit ribosomal RNA", at positions 28 to 444 of the family's 1533-position model. The record is from RNAcentral.
GACGAACGCUGGCGGCGUGCUUAAUACAUGCAAGUCAACUUGACUUUAGAUAGCAAUAUCGAAAAGUAGGGUGGCGCACGGGUGCGUAACGCGUAGGUAAUCUGCCCUGAGGUCUGACAUAACCCGUCGAAAGGCGGGCUAACAUCAGAUGAUAUAUAGUCACGACAUCGUGGAAAUAUCAAAUCUUCGGAGCCUUGGGAUGAGCCUGCGUCUGAUUAGGGUAGUUGGCGGAGUAAUAGCCCACCAAGCCUACGAUCAGUAGCUGGUCUGAGAGGAUGAUCAGCCACACUGGAACUGAGACACGGUCCAGACUCCUACGGGAGGCAGCAGUAAGGAAUAUUGCUCAAUGGGGGAAACCCUGAAGCAGCAACGCCGCGUGAAGGAUGAAAUACUUUGUAUGUAAACUUCUGUAAGAUGGG